RNAcentral lists this ribosomal RNA (461 nucleotides) under uncultured bacterium. RNAcentral describes it as "partial 16S ribosomal RNA". It matches the Rfam family "Bacterial small subunit ribosomal RNA", at positions 338 to 795 of the family's 1533-position model. The record is from RNAcentral.
CCUACGGGAGGCAGCAGUGAGGAAUAUUGGUCAAUGGACGAGAGUCUGAACCAGCCAAGUAGCGUGAAGGAUGACUGCCCUAUGGGUUGUAAACUUCUUUUGUCAGGGAGCAAUUGGGUCCACGCGUGGGCUUAGCGAGAGUACCUGAAGAAAAAGCAUCGGCUAACUCCGUGCCAGCAGCCGCGGUAAUACGGAGGAUGCGAGCGUUAUCCGGAUUUACUGGGUGUAAAGGGCGUGCAGCCGGGAGUACAAGUCAGAUGUGAAAUCCCGCGGCUCAACCGCGGAACUGCAUUUGAAACUGUAUUUCUUGAGUACUGGAGAGGCAGACGGAAUUCCUAGUGUAGCGGUGAAAUGCGUAGAUAUUAGGAGGAACACCAGUGGCGAAGGCGGUCUGCUGGACAGCAACUGACGGUGAGGCGCGAAAGCGUGGGGAGCAAACAGGAUUAGAUACCCUUGUAGUC